AGAGUUUGAUCGUGGCUCAGAAUCAACGCUGGCGGCGUGCCUAACACAUGCAAGUCGAACGCGGUUGCUUCUGCUUCGCAAGAAGCAGUUGUGACUGAGUGGCGAACGGGUGAGUAACGCGUGGGUGACCUACCUUCGAGCGGGGGAUAACGUCCCGAAAGGGACGCUAAUACCGCAUAACAUCCUGCCCUUGAACGGGUGGAGAUCAAAGCUGGGGAUCGCAAGACCCGGCACUUGGAGAGGGGCCCGCGUCUGAUUAGCUAGUUGGUGAGGUAAUGGCCCACCAAGGCGACGAUCAGUAUCCGGCCUGAGAGGGCGGACGGACACACUGGGACUGAGACACGGCCCAGACUCCUACGGGAGGCAGCAGUGGGGAAUUGUUCGCAAUGGGCGCAAGCCUGACGACGCAACGCCGCGUGGAGGAUGAAGGUCUUCGGAUUGUAAACUCCUGUUGCCCGGGACGAAAAGCUUCGACCUAACACGUCGAAGUCUGAC
Molecule: ribosomal RNA, 495 nt
Filed under: uncultured Acidobacteriota bacterium
Lineage: Bacteria; Pseudomonadati; Acidobacteriota
Description: bacterial SSU rRNA
Rfam family: Bacterial small subunit ribosomal RNA
Source: RNAcentral